RNAcentral lists this ribosomal RNA (622 nucleotides) under Malassezia globosa. RNAcentral's name for it is "eukaryotic LSU rRNA". It matches the Rfam family "Eukaryotic large subunit ribosomal RNA", at positions 40 to 647 of the family's 3401-position model. The record is from RNAcentral. Lineage: Eukaryota; Fungi; Basidiomycota; Malasseziomycetes; Malasseziales; Malasseziaceae.
AUAUCAAUAAGCGGAGGAAAAGAAACUAACAAGGAUUCCCCUAGUAACGGCGAGCGAAGCGGGAAGAGCUCAAAUUUGAAAGCUGGCACCUCCGGUGUCCGCGUUGUAAUCUCGAGACGUGUUUUCCGUGCGGCUCUAUGGACAAGUCCCUUGGAAUAGGGCAUCGUAGAGGGUGAGAAUCCCGUACUUGCCAUGGAAGAACCGUGCUUUGCGAUACACGCUCUAAGAGUCGAGUUGUUUGGGAUUGCAGCUCAAAAUGGGUGGUAGACUCCAUCUAAAGCUAAAUAUCGGGGAGAGACCGAUAGCGAACAAGUACCGUGAGGGAAAGAUGAAAAGCACUUUGGAAAGAGAGUUAAAAGUACGUGAAAUUGUCGAAAGGGAAGCACUUGAAGUCAGCCAUGCUGCUUGAGACUCAGCCUGGCCUUUGGGCUUGGUGUAUUUCUCGGUGGCAAGCCAGCAUUGGUUUGGGUCGUCGGAGAAGCGCAUAGGGAAUGUAGCGUCUCCGGACGUGUUAUAGCCUUAUGCAGGAUACGACGACCUGGAUCAAGGAACGCAGUGUGCCCUCUGGGCGGGUCUUCGGACACCUUCACACUUAGGAUGCUGGCGUAAUGGCUUUAAGUGG